GGUGAGUAAUGUCUGGGAAACUGCCUGAUGGAGGGGGAUAACUACUGGAAACGGUAGCUAAUACCGCAUAACGUCGCAAGACCAAAGAGGGGGACCUUCGGGCCUCUUGCCAUCGGAUGUGCCCAGAUGGGAUUAGCUAGUAGGUGGGGUAACGGCUCACCUAGGCGACGAUCCCUAGCUGGUCUGAGAGGAUGACCAGCCACACUGGAACUGAGACACGGUCCAGACUCCUACGGGAGGCAGCAGUGGGGAAUAUUGCACAAUGGGCGCAAGCCUGAUGCAGCCAUGCCGCGUGUAUGAAGAAGGCCUUCGGGUUGUAAAGUACUUUCAGCGGGGAGGAAGGGAGUAAAGUUAAUACCUUUGCUCAUUGACGUUACCCGCAGAAGAAGCACCGGCUAACUCCGUGCCAGCAGCCGCGGUAAUACGGAGGGUGCAAGCGUUAAUCGGAAUUACUGGGCGUAAAGCGCACGCAGGCGGUUUGUUAAGUCAGAUGUGAAAUCCCCGGGCUCAACCUGGGAACUGCAUCUGAUACUGGCAAGCUUGAGUCUCGUAGAGGGGGGUAGAAUUCCAGGUGUAGCGGUGAAAUGCGUAGAGAUCUGGAGGAAUACCGGUGGCGAAGGCGGCCCCCUGGACGAAGACUGACGCUCAGGUGCGAAAGCGUG
Molecule: ribosomal RNA, 662 nt
Filed under: Escherichia coli
Lineage: Bacteria; Pseudomonadati; Pseudomonadota; Gammaproteobacteria; Enterobacterales; Enterobacteriaceae
Description: bacterial SSU rRNA
Rfam family: Bacterial small subunit ribosomal RNA
Source: RNAcentral